UACGGGAGGCAGCAGUGGGGAAUAUUGCACAAUGGGCGCAAGCCUGAUGCAGCCAUGCCGCGUGUAUGAAGAAGGCCUUCGGGUUGUAAAGUACUUUCAGUCGUGAGGAAGGUGUUAAGGUUAAUAACCUUAGCAAUUGACGUUAGCGACAGAAGAAGCACCGGCUAACUCCGUGCCAGCAGCCGCGGUAAUACGGAGGGUGCGAGCGUUAAUCGGAAUUACUGGGCGUAAAGGGCACGCAGGCGGUUAAUUAAGUUGGAUGUGAAAUCCCCGGGCUUAACCUGGGAAUGGCAUUCAAGACUGGUUAGCUAGAGUCUUGUAGAGGGGGUAGAAUUCCAUGUGUAGCGGUGAAAUGCGUAGAGAUGUGGAGGAAUACCGGUGGCGAAGGCGGCCCCUGGCAAAGGACUGACGCUCAUGUGCGAAAGCUGGGGAGCAAACAGGAUUAGAUACC
Molecule: ribosomal RNA, 451 nt
Filed under: uncultured bacterium
Lineage: Bacteria
Description: bacterial SSU rRNA
Rfam family: Bacterial small subunit ribosomal RNA
Source: RNAcentral